RNAcentral lists this long non-coding RNA (952 nucleotides) under Mustela putorius furo (domestic ferret). Its description in RNAcentral is "lncRNA (ENSMPUG00000024622.1)". Lineage: Eukaryota; Metazoa; Chordata; Mammalia; Carnivora; Mustelidae. The record is from RNAcentral.
GGGGUUUAUGCACAGGGAGGUAAAGACUUUGCAGGGCUAUGUCUAGGCUGCUGGCACAGAAAUACACAGCAGUGUCACCUGUCUCCAGGAAGUUGAUGUGAAGGUUUAAACGAGUUUUGUCAGGGGAUUCAGGUAAGAAGCAUCUUGGAACUGUUUCAUUUAGAAUGAGAUCCUUAUUGUUGUAGAUAAACAUGACCUUCAGCAAUUUCUGGGAGUCCUGCUUAUACCAGUACAUGGUAUCGUGGCCCAGCUUUUGUUCACAUUUUAGGAACUUCUUAUUUCCCGUCUGUGCGAUGAGGUGUUUUGGAGUCUGGGAAACUGCCGUGUCCAGGGGGGCUGAGAAGGAAAGGAGCGGAAUUCAGACAAGUCCCAGGAGAGAGACAGUGGCUGGACACAUGCUGAGUAGGCUUAGAGACCCAACGGGGCAUCUUGCCACCUGGACCGAGGACUCACCUGCUCCCAGGAGGCAGAGGACCAUACAGCAGAAGAGCGUGGAGCCCAUGGUGGAGACAGACACAGUCCUAGCCAAGCAUUCUCAUCCUCAGUGGUGUGCUGCUCCGCUGACUCUGUUGGGAUCUGGCUGCAAAGGGAAAGAGAGGAGCACGAAGUGAAUUCUGACAGCGACAUAAUUUAGUUUGUUUAACACUUCAUCAAAACUCUUCUAUGUGAAUCAAAGGUUGUGUUAACUUCUCUUUGAAAGACCCUCCCCCCGUCGUUAACUAAUUAACUGCUCUUUUGUUGUGUAAAAGUACCCCUCCUCCCCUUGCAAUGAAAAGACCCUUCCCCCAGGGUUGAAUUCAAUGUAACUGCUCUUUUGCCUUUCUGUAACAGCUUGGCUUUUAGGGCAUGACACUCGACUCCUGUUUGAACAAGAUACCCUCUCCUAAUAGCCGGGGCAUGGUCCCGUAGGUCACGUAGGCAAGGGGGCUGCAUGGUCACACAGGUCACGUAG